GCAGUCGACGGGGUGUGUGGAAGGUAACGGAAGCACACUUAGUGGCGAACGGGUGAGGAAUAGGUAGGUAACGUACCCUGGACUCAGGAAUAGCGGCGUCCUUCGGGACUUUAGCGAAAGUGCCGGUAAUACCUGGUGACAUCACGAGAUCGCAUGGUCUUGUGAUCAAAGGUCCGCAGGUCUGGGAUCGGCCUAUCUCCCAUCAGCUUGUUGGUGAGGUAAUGGCUCACCAAGGCGGCGACGGGUACCAGGCGUGAGAGCGUGGUCUGGCACAUCGGGACUGAGACACUGCCCGGACAUCUACGGAUGGCUGCAGCAACGAAUAUUCCGCAAUGGACGAAAGUCUGACGGAGCGACGCCGCGUGCAGGACGAAGCGCUUCGGCGUGUAAACUGCUGUCAGGGGUUAGGAAGACAGUGACCAACCCCAAAGGAAGCCCCGGCUAAGUCCGUGCCAGCAGCCGCGGUAAUACGGACGGGGCAAGCGUUGUUCGGAAUUAUUGGGCUUAAAGCGUGUGUAGGCGGGAUGGAAGGUGCCUAGUGAAAGCCCCCGGCUCAACCGGGGAACUGCUGGGCAAACCACCAUUCUUGAGGUCAGCAGGGGAGCUUGGAACUUUGGGUGGAGCGGUGAAAUGCGUAGAUAUCCAAGGGAACGCCGGUGGCGAAAGCGGAGCUCUGGGCUGAUUCUGACGCUGAGGCACGAAAGCGUGGGGAGCAAACAGGAUUAGAUACCCUGGUAGUCCACGCCGUAAACGAUGCGCACUAGGUAUCAGCGCCUCUGACGGGGUUGGUGCCGUAGCAAA
This 801-nucleotide ribosomal RNA is filed under the name uncultured bacterium. Its description in RNAcentral is "bacterial SSU rRNA". It matches the Rfam family "Bacterial small subunit ribosomal RNA", at positions 57 to 855 of the family's 1533-position model. The record is from RNAcentral.